AGAGUUUGAUCCUGGCUCAGGGCUAACGCUGAUGGUGUGUCUAAGCCAUGCUAGUCGAGCGUACCUCAAGAGUUUUAUAAUUCUUGAGGACAGCGGCGGAUAGGUGAGUAACGCGUGAGUAACCUGCCGUCAAGUCCGGGAUAGCCUUGAGAAAUCAGGGGUAAUUCCGGAUAUUGCCAUAAGGCGUAAAGUUUUAUGGUAAAAGGUAGCCUCUCUCUGAAGCUAUCGCUAGACGAGGGGCUCGCGUCCCAUUAGCUUGUUGGUAAGGUAAAAGCUUACCAAGGCAAUGAUAGGUAGCCGGCCUGAGAGGGUGACCGGCCACGCUGGGACUGAGACAAGGCCCAGGCUCCUACGGGAGGCAGCAGGCUAGAAAUUUGUCCAAUGGACGCAAGUCUGAGACAGCGACACCAUGUGGAGGAUCUGAAGGCCUUCGGGUUGUAAACUCCUGUCAAAGAGGACGAUGCUCUGAUAACUUAACAGGUUGUUCAGAGUGACGGUACUCUUAAUAGGAAGCCACGGCUAAUUCCGUGCCAGCAGCCGCGGUAAAACGGAAGUGGCAAGCGUUGCUCGGAAUCACUGGGCGUAAAGGGGACGUAGGCGGAUAGUCAAGUUGAAUGUGAAAACCGUUUGCUUAACGAACGGCUUGCAUUCAAAACUGAUUAUCUAGAGUCUGGCAGAGGAGAGUAGAACUUCUGGUGUAGCGGUGGAAUGCGUAGAUAUCAGAAGGAAUACCGACGGCGAAGGCAGCUCUCUGGGCCAAGACUGACGCUGAGGUCCGAAAGCCAGGGUAGCGAACGGGAUUAGAUACCCCGGUAGUCCUGGCUGUAAACGAUGGGCACUUGACGUAGGCGGUAAAGUCUGCGUCGUAGCCAACGUGAUAAGUGCUCCGCCUGGGGAGUACGUUCGCAAGGAUGAAACUCAAAGGAAUUGACGGGGACCCGCACAAGCGGUGGAGGAUGUGGUUUAAUUCGAGGCAACGCGAAGAACCUUACCUGGGCUUGACAUGCAGGAAGUACAAACCUGAAACGGGGAGGACCGGUAACCAGUUCCGGAACCUGCACAGGUGCUGCAUGGCUGUCGUCAGCUCGUGCUGUGAGGUGUUGGGUUAAGUCCCGUAACGAGCGCAACCCCUUCCCCUUGUUGCCAUCAGGUUAAAAUAACGCUGGGCACUCGAGGGGAACUGCCCCGGAUAACGGGGAGGAAGGUGGGGAUGACGUCAAGUCAUCAUGGCCCUUAUGCUCAGGGCUACACACGUCCUACAAUGGCCGCCACAGAGGGUAGCGACUUCGCGAGGAGCAGCCAAUCCCUAAAAGCGGCCUCAGUUCGGAUUGCAGGUUGCAACUCACCUGCAUGAAGCUGGAAUCGCUAGUAAUCGCGGAUCAGAAUGCCGCGGUGAAUACGUUCCCGGGUCUUGUACACACCGCCCGUCACGCCAUGGAAGUCGGCAGUACCCGAAGCCAUCGACUCCUCACGGGGCGAUGUCGAAGGUAAAGCCGGUAACUGGGGCGAAGUCGUAACAAGGUAACC
This 1527-nucleotide ribosomal RNA is filed under the name uncultured organism. Its description in RNAcentral is "bacterial SSU rRNA". It matches the Rfam family "Bacterial small subunit ribosomal RNA". The record is from RNAcentral.